GGGCCGCUAGCUCAACUGGCAGAGCAACUGACUCUUAAUCAGUAGGUUCGGGGUUCGAGUCCCCGGCGGCUCA
This 73-nucleotide transfer RNA is filed under the name Acidobacteriota bacterium. RNAcentral describes it as "tRNA-Lys". It matches the Rfam family "tRNA". Rfam says of the family: Transfer RNA (tRNA) molecules are approximately 80 nucleotides in length. The record is from RNAcentral. Lineage: Bacteria; Pseudomonadati; Acidobacteriota. RNAcentral also lists the same sequence under 1 other name.